The sequence is a small nuclear RNA, 150 nucleotides long. Its record names the gene U4. It matches the Rfam family "U4 spliceosomal RNA". Rfam says of the family: U4 small nuclear RNA (U4 snRNA) is a component of the major U2-dependent spliceosome. The structure of U4 snRNA from yeast and human has been reported. The record is from Ensembl.
AGCUUUGCGCAGUGGCAGUAUCGUAGCCAAUGAGGUUUAUCCAAGGCGCGAUUAUUGCUAAUUGAUAACCGAUUCAAUUUCUUCGCUGGUUAUGGGUCUGUUCAAGCUUUCUAUUUCCUCCUGAUUGAGUUUUGGAAGAGUGUGGGUGUU